Callithrix jacchus (white-tufted-ear marmoset) is the source of this 1191-nucleotide long non-coding RNA. RefSeq lists it as uncharacterized. The record is from RefSeq and is a predicted model, not a curated record. Lineage: Eukaryota; Metazoa; Chordata; Mammalia; Primates; Cebidae.
GCCCGGGACUCCAGCCGCCGACCAAUGGACGCGGGGCCACGGUUCCCCGGAGCACUGCUCCGCCACGUGAUCGGCAACGCGCCCGGAGUGAUCGGGCUGCGGGCCAGGGUCCCGGAAAGGGGUGGUGGGUCACCGUUUCAUCAGAAGCCCGAGGACGGGAGCCAGGGUGCAGGGGCAACUUCCUAUAGGAGAGCGUCCCGUUAGAAUGACAGGGCUGUUGCAAAGGACUGACAGCCGUGGCACAGAGCGUCCCAGAUAUGGAGGGUUUCACAGAUGGGCAGAUCUGAUAAGGGACCACCUGUGAAAUCAGCUAUUGUUGACUCUUGAACAAUCUGGGGGCUAGGGGCAUGAACCCCUGUGCAGUUGAAAAUCAACAUAGAAUUUUGACUUGUCAAAAACUUCACUACAAUAGCCUGCUGUCAACCUGAAGUCUUACCAAUAACAUCAGCGAUUAACACAUAUUUUGUAUGUUAUAUGUAUUCUAUGCUGUAGUUUUACAAUAAAGUAAGCUGGAGAAAUGAAAAUUUUAAGGAAAUCAUAAGGAAGAGAAAAUAUGUUGGCUAGGUACAGUGGCUCAUGCCUGUAAUCCCAGCACUUUGGGGGCCCAGGUGGGCAGAUUGAUUGAGCUCAGGAGUUCAAGACCAGCCUGGACAACAUGGUGAAACCCUGUAUCUACAAAAAAAUACAAAAAGUAGCCAGGCAUGGUGGCACGGACCUGUAAUUCCAGCUAUUUCAGGAGGCUGAGGUAGGAGAAUCAUGUGAGCCUGGGGACAUCAAGGCUGCAGUGAGCCAAGAUGGCACCAUUGCACUCGAGCUUUGGUGACAGAGCAAGCCUCUGUCUCAAAAAAGAAAGAAACAAAAUAUAUUUAGUAUUCAUUAAGUGGAAGUGGAUUGUCAUAAAGGUCUUCGUCCUGGUUGUCUUCAUGUUGAGUAGGCUGAGAAGGAGAAGGAAGUGAAGGGGUUGGUCUUGCUGUCUCACGAGUGUCAGAGGCAGAAGAAAAUCCAAGUGUAAGUGGACCUAUGCGGUUCAAACCCAUAUUGUUCAGAGGCCAACUGACUAAUACUAAUAUAAUGUAUUAGUAUUAGACAUUGUGGAAAUUACAGAAAAUACAGAAAAAUAUCAAAAUAGAAUCAGUACUACCCAUUGAUAACUACCAUCAUAAUUCACUAUGUUUUCUUUCAGUAUUUAUU